GACGAACGCUGGCGGCGUGCUUAACACAUGCAAGUCGAACGCUGAACCCGCUUCGGGGGGGGCUGAGUGGCGAACGGGUGGGUAACACGUGGUCAACCUGCCCCCGGCUCUGGGAUAACUCUAAGAAAUUGGGGCUAAUACCUGGUGUGACCGCUUUCCGCAUUGUCUGGUGGUGGGAAGGGUUUCCGGCUGGUGAUGGGCUCGCGGCCUAUCAGCUUGUUGGUGGGGUAGUGGCCUACCAAGGCGACGACCGGUAGCCGGCCUGAGAGGGUGACCGGCCACGCUGCGACGGAGACAAGACACAGCCUACACUGGGAGGCAGGAGUGGGGAAUAUUGCGCAAUGGGCGGAAGCAUAACGCAGCGAAGCAGCGCGGGGGAAGACGGCAAUGGGGUAGUAAACUAAUUUCAGCGGGGACGAAGCGAAAGUGACGGUACCGGGAGAAGAAGCACCGGCCAACUACGUG
Molecule: ribosomal RNA, 465 nt
Filed under: uncultured bacterium
Lineage: Bacteria
Description: partial 16S ribosomal RNA
Rfam family: Bacterial small subunit ribosomal RNA
Source: RNAcentral